CAGUUUUUAAGCAUUUGUUUCUUCCGCUGUACUAGGGCGCUGUACUGGGGGCGCGGAUGUCGGGAGAAUCAGCUGCUGCUGGUGCUGCCUCACAACAGUGGAUUUGAGAAGACACACGCGUGUCAGCACACAAGCAACACACACACACACAUACAUAUAUAUAUAUAUACAGACAUACAUCCGCAUAGGGAGACCCAUUCACACACACACACACACACACACACACAUAUGUGCACGUACCCCACACACAUCUCUCUCGGCAGAGUCGCGAGCUGCUCCUGUCUCUCGAGAGAAGCACAUUCCACCCUUGUUGCCCCCUUGUUGCCCCAUUGGCCUCGUGUGGUGGAGUGGAGGCCGCAGGGGGUCAGAGUGGUGACGCUGAAUGUCAUACUUAAAGAGGAAUGUCUUAAACAAACAAACAAACAAACAAACAAAAAACAGACUCUCUUUGCACUGCACUAAAACUGUAUCAUGUACUUAGUUCAUUACGGAGAAGAGAAGUGUGUUAGCUCUAAACAAAUUGUUCUUCUAUGUGUGUGUGGUAGACUAAGAGUGCACUGCUGAGGUGCAUAAAUGUGGUUUUGAUUUGUUUCGUUUGUUUUUUUUUGACUGUACAGAGUUGUGAAUGGUAAGGCAGUGUCUUUGUCUUGCGUGUGCAUGCGUGCGUGUUGUGUGUGCGUGCGUGUGUGUGGAUGUGUGUGAGAGAGAGGGAGAGAGAGUGCAUAUGUGAGUGAGUAUGUUCACCUCCAUGUUGCUUUAGCACACAUUUCAUUAGACUGAUUCAAGAGAGAAGGGGAAUUUCUUGUCGUAGUUCCCAUUGGUAUUUGGUUCACCAACCAGGGCGCAGUCACAGUCAUGGGCUGUGGCAUUGCUCGAGCAAUUUUUUUUUACCUGUGAAUACCUUGGACACACCGUAGGCACAACUAGGGGAGGAGACUCACUGUAAAUAUGAACCAAACUGAUUAGCAGACAACCCACCAAUUAGACCACACCGACUUCUGGACGGGACACUCAUGACGCCCAAUAGAAAAUGAGAGACAGUUGUACAAUUGCCUCGCAUGGCCAGUCGAUUCUGCGUCUGCAGAUUAGGUUCGCAGACAUGCUGAGUCAUUGGCCAGUAGAUCCUCUAUUUGCUGUGUGAGUUUACUCUUGUGGACUAUCGGUCAGGGCCAGACACAUUUAGCUGAGUCAUGCUAUGUAUUGUCUUUUUACGUGAAAUUGCAGGAGGGGAAAUUUACCUCAACAUAUGAAAACACCUAGAUGAGGUUAUGGCUUGGUUGCUUAAAUGUCAGAAUGUUUCCGUACUCUGAGAUGUUACUCUGUCAGGUCUUUCUAAUGGAUUCUGGUGGUUCUGUAGAGAAGAAGGGGAGUGUUUCUGGACAUUAUGGAAGUUGUAUGUCAGCGUCCCCCCGAUAUUAUGCCUGCUGUGCAGCUGUUUGCCUGACAUCUGGAAAGAGCUUACACAAACACAUGCAAAAGCUCUUCCAUCUCCACACGUCUCACAUUCAGUUAUCUGCAUUUAUGGGAAGGCUCCAAUAGUCUGUAGACCCAUCGUCUCAUCACUCUUGGUACCAAAGAGGCCCUCUCUGCGGCAGCCUAUCCAAGUGCCUGGUGCUGCCUGGUCUAUCUCAUACCCUCUGUGCUCUCAGAAGAAUGGUGCUAUCUGGAACCUCUGAGUUUUUUUUCCAGCUUAUCCUCAGAGGAGAACCCUUGGAGAAAGAUUCCACUGAGAACCUCUUGAGAAAAUUCUCCUGAGAGUUCCUCAAGGCUCUAUGGAGAACCUUUCGAGAGGAUUCUACUUAGAGUUCUACAAGGAGACGCUACUGAGAAUCCUUCAUGAAGAUUCCAUCUAAGGGUUUCAUCCCACCUAAAGGCAUUUUGUUUUCUUCUGCAAGUGCACCAGCCCUGAUCAAUACAUCCCAGAGUUAAACUCUGCCCCUAAUGAAUGUGUUUACCUAUCCACAGCUUUACCCCACGGUCCCAAUAUUUCUGGUCAGUUUGGCUCGUCCUGAACUGAUGACAUUAAGAUGGUGGUGAUUGUACGAACACAUUCAAUGCAACUAUAUGAAUUACACUUUAACCUUUUUGUUAUUAAGUCGUCACAAGCCAUGUUAGUCCACGCAUCGGCAGGGCCUCUGAGUCAGACAGCCUAUGUGUGGUGAUUGUAGCCUUAUAUUAGAAUACUGUAUGUCCUGUGGAUAUGCUAGCAGUUUGUCCCUACCAUGAUACCGUAGUUGCAUUGAAUGUACAGUUGGUUAGGGAAAAAAAACGCGAUUGUAUGAAGAGGCUGCCUUUUCUUCCUCCCCUCCGCCUGUAUCUCGAUCGAUCCCUCGCUACCGUUGUCCACAUCAACACAGCACAGCGCAGCGCAGUCCUUGGUUGCCUUGAACCACAUGAGUAAAGAGGUUAAUGGGAGUAUGAUAGUGUUUCCUUGAGCAUCAAUCACCAGGAGAUGGUCAGAGAAAUGCAAUUUUAUUUUUUUUCUUCCAGUGAUGUGGACCUCCUGUCAGAUUUACAGUAAACAUUUGGGGCUGAUGAGGCGUCAUCCCUGAAGUUGUGAUAUAAUGAUGUAAUGUAUGUCUGUUAAAGCUGCUGAAUUCAUGAGGGGAAAAAAAUCAUCAAAAAUAAAACAAA
Long non-coding RNA from Clupea harengus (Atlantic herring), 2634 nucleotides. Lineage: Eukaryota; Metazoa; Chordata; Actinopteri; Clupeiformes; Clupeidae. The record is from Ensembl.